AGAGUUUGAUCAUGGCUCAGGACGAACGCUGGCGGCGUGCUUAACACAUGCAAGUCGAACGGAAAGGCCCUUCGGGGUACACGAGUGGCGAACGGGUGAGUAACACGUGGGUAAUCUGCCCUGCACAUCGGGAUAAGCCUGGGAAACUGGGUCUAAUACCGAAUAGGACCACAGGACACAUGUCCUGUGGUGGAAAGCUUUUGCGGUGUGGGAUGGGCCCGCGGCCUAUCAGCUUGUUGGUGGGGUGAUGGCCUACCAAGGCGACGACGGGUAGCCGGCCUGAGAGGGUGUCCGGCCACACUGGGACUGAGAUACGGCCCAGACUCCUACGGGAGGCAGCAGUGGGGAAUAUUGCACAAUGGGCGAAAGCCUGAUGCAGCGACGCCGCGUGGGGGAUGACGGCCUUCGGGUUGUAAACCUCUUUCAGUAGGGACGAAGCGAAAGUGACGGUACCUACAGAAGAAGGACCGGCCAACUACGUGCCAGCAGCCGCGGUAAUACGUAGGGUCCGAGCGUUGUCCGGAAUUACUGGGCGUAAAGAGCUCGUAGGUGGUUUGUCGCGUUGUUCGUGAAAACUCACAGCUUAACUGUGGGCGUGCGGGCGAUACGGGCAGACUAGAGUACUGCAGGGGAGACUGGAAUUCCUGGUGUAGCGGUGGAAUGCGCAGAUAUCAGGAGGAACACCGGUGGCGAAGGCGGGUCUCUGGGCAGUAACUGACGCUGAGGAGCGAAAGCGUGGGUAGCGAACAGGAUUAGAUACCCUGGUAGUCCAA
RNAcentral lists this ribosomal RNA (773 nucleotides) under uncultured bacterium. RNAcentral describes it as "bacterial SSU rRNA". It matches the Rfam family "Bacterial small subunit ribosomal RNA", at positions 8 to 798 of the family's 1533-position model. The record is from RNAcentral.